This 493-nucleotide ribosomal RNA is filed under the name uncultured bacterium. RNAcentral describes it as "bacterial SSU rRNA". It matches the Rfam family "Bacterial small subunit ribosomal RNA", at positions 37 to 524 of the family's 1533-position model. The record is from RNAcentral.
UGGCGGCGUGCCUAUAAUGGCAGUCCUGCGGACUCUUUCGGGGGUCAGCGGCGGACGGGUGAGUAAAGCGUGGGUAACCUGCCGGACAGACGGGGAUAACGCCUGCAAACGGGGGCUAAGCCCGGGUGGAUUCUCUCUUCGCAUGGAGGGGGAAGGGAAGGUGGCGCAAGUCACCGCUGUUCGAGGGGCCCGCGGCGCAUUAGCUCGUUGGCGGGGUAAAGGGCCCACCAAGGCGACGAGUGCGUAGCCGACCUGAGAGGGUGAGCGGCCACACUGGGACUGAGACACGGCCCAGACUCCUACGGGAGGCAGCAGUAGGGAAUCUUCGGCAGUGGGCGACAGCCUGACCGAGAGACGCCGCGUGAAGUGAAGACGGUCUUCGGAUUGUAAAGCUCUGUCAUGCGGGACGAGCGACAAGGAGAGGGCAUGCUCCUUGAGAGACGGUACCGCAAGAAGAAGCCCCGGCUAACUACGUGCCAGUAGCCGCGGUAAU